UAGAACACUUUGAGUCUGCAUAGAACAUCCUGCAGGAGAAGGUGCCUGAUAAAUCCUACUGAGGUAUCAACAGAACAGACUAAAGGUUGUCACUUGAAGCCAUAGCUUUGUGGUCCCUGCGGAAGUGGAAGAGGCUCCAUUGAAGAUAUCCAUGAUCUGCGGACACAGAUGACAUUUGUAUUCAUGUCAUUACUCAGAGGACCACAUCCUUCGGCUUCCUUUUGGUGGGGACCUCAGGGAAGAAAGUCCUUCAAAGAGGCCAUCUGUUCCCAAAAUCAAGACUGA
This 285-nucleotide long non-coding RNA is filed under the name Mus spicilegus (steppe mouse). RNAcentral describes it as "lncRNA (ENSMSIG00000025280.1)". Lineage: Eukaryota; Metazoa; Chordata; Mammalia; Rodentia; Muridae. The record is from RNAcentral.